GGAGGCGGCGGCGGCGGCGGCGGCGGAGCGGCGAAGGCGGGGGGCGGGGAGGGAGGAGGGAGGCACCGCCCCCCGCGGGAGGAGCCAGUCGGCAGCCCGCGCCCCCUCCCCGCGGCCCGGCCCAGGGGCCCCAAGGCGGGCCGGGGUCCCGGAGGGGGCGCCGGCCCCGAGGUGUUCCCCAGUCCCGGUGUCUGGGGCACCCCAGGGGGUCCCGGGGCCCCCGGCGGGGGCAGGAGUCCGGGCCCUGGACGUGCGGGUCCCCCUCGGGAGGCGAGGCUCCCCAGAGUGCGCGGCUUCUUCAGGGGGCCGGGCCGGGCAGGGGGGGCCGUGAGGCCCAGGGCUCGGGCCCCCCCGGGGGGAGUCCUGGGGAACGCAGCCCGAGGCGCCCAAGCGGGGUCCGCCCCCUCCCCUCCAUCUCCUCAGCGGCCGGCGGGGGUCCCGAGGACCGCCCCCCCCCCGGGGGGGGGGGCGCUGGAGGGAUCUUCCCCGCCUCUAGCGCUCCUGCCCCCGGCGGCCACAGCCGGGGUCCCCCCUCCAAGCCGAGGGUCCCCCCGCCCCCCCGGGCCCCUGCAGGGAGGGCCGGGCUGUCUCCGCGAGAGGGGCGGACGCGGGCUGAAUGUUAAUCACCCCGCGAGUCUGUUCCAGCCAGCGCGUCCCUCUCCCCCUCCCUCCCCUCCCGCUCGGGCGCGGGCUCCUUCCCAGCCGCCCGCCCCCCGCCCCAGCCUAGGUGUGCGGCAGGCGGGCGGCGGGAGGCUCGGUCCGGUCUGUCUGCCUGCCCGACUCGGUCCCGGCCCCGGCGGCGGGGGGGCCGCGGGGGGGCCGCUCUGCGGGCUCGGCGUCUCCUCUCCGGCGCGGCCAGAGCCUGACCGGGCCCCUGGGCCGGCCCUCGUCGCUCCCCUCCCCCACGACACAGCAGGGUCAUGAAAAGGUAAGGCCAGAGGAGGGGGCUGGGGGGGACCCCAGACCCAGGAGGGGCAGAGGGCGCCGGAGCCGGGCUGGUUUCCCUCCCCAGCUGUAGGGCUCCCUGUGCCCCUGCACACACACCCCCCGCCCCCUCCCAGCCCCCCACUUCCUCAACCCUCGGCCCUUGGCCCCUUCCCUCCUUGGCCCCAUUUCUCCUCCUUGGGUUCCCUCUUUCCCUCCCUCUCCCUCCACGUCCUUCUGUCCCUUUGCAUGGCUCCCCUGCCCGGCUCCUGCUGGCUCUCCCUGGCCCUCAUCCCUCCCCCUCCCUCGCUGCCCAGCCUGUCUUCCUUGGCCCUUUCCUCAGUCUCUGUCCCUCCCCAGCUCCCCAUUUCUCCUUCCCCUCCCCCCUUCUCCCUGGCCCCUCUCCCUCCCCAUCCCACCUCCUCCCUCCCUCCCUCCCUCUCCUCCCAGGCUCCAUCCCCUCCCCUCAGCCUCUGUCCCUGUUCCCACGGCCUGUGACUCUGCUCUUCAUCCUGCUUACAAGGCCCUGAAGGUCGUGAGGCCCCGGCCCCGGGCCCGGACACCCCCCCCCCACGAGCCUGCGGCCCGAGGAAGUCCAGGCCUGCCCUCCCCCUUCUCAUCCCUGGGUCUGGGACCGUGCGGGGUGGGGGGGGGGGAGAGGAACUGUCUGCGGCAGUGCGGCGGAGAGGCCCCGGUGCGGGCGCAGCUCGCUGGGCCCUGACCCGCCAGCAGGGCCUCUGUCCGGUUCAGCACCGGCUCACUGCCCGCCAGCUCCCCUCCCUCCUCUGCAGUGCUGGGCUGGGGGGGAUGGGACGGCCCUGGAGGGGAGCGCGAGCAGCCGUCUCCCAGAGGGAAGGAGACCAGGGGUGGAAAUCAGUCUCAGAGGCUUGCCUGCCCCUUGGGGGGGUGGGAAACCCCCGCUU
Molecule: long non-coding RNA, 1847 nt
Organism: Sarcophilus harrisii (Tasmanian devil)
Lineage: Eukaryota; Metazoa; Chordata; Mammalia; Dasyuromorphia; Dasyuridae
Source: Ensembl